GAGCGUCUGCUAAGGGGGCCUACAUUUGAGUCAUUAUAAUAAUAUAUGUAUAGUGGACAACUCCAUAACCUGAAGAGCUAACACCCCUUUCCGUCAUAAUGUAGCGAUCCACUACUAUUACUGGUCGUUGCAAGCUGGGAUGUCGUCACAAGGUAAAAUAAAAAUUUAAUAGUAGGCAAACCUGUGUAACGCUGCACGUGUGGCAUUCUGAAAACUCCUCGGCACACCUGCAAAUCUUCGGCGGCACACAGUUUGAGAAACACUGCCCUAGACAAUAAUAAAUAUUGACUAUUCAAUCUGAUUCUACAUUUAUGUCAAACAAUAUUAUGAAUAUAGUAUAGAUGUCUAGAUAUGCUAACUUAAAUAGUUAGAAUAUAGAUCUAGAAUCUAGUCUAGAUUAGUUAUUAGUAGAUCUAGAUCUAAUCUAGGUCUAACAAUAAAAUUGAUUCGGAAUACCUUGAACUCAUCCUUUGUGAUUGUGUAAGCACUUUCAGUAGAACAAGAUUAUAAGUGAAGAGAUCUGGAUAACACAAGGAGGGCAGCAAAUCAUUUUCUUUAUUACGCUGGCUUGCUUUCAAAGUGUGGCGAUUUUAUUGUUUACCAUGGAGUUGUCUACUUUUCAAAUUUUACUGACCAAGUUUUUUACAGUGACUGAUCCAUCAGCAGUUUCCGAAGCAGUAACUGAUAUCUCAAAAAAAUAUUGCUUUGCUGAUGGUGUCUGGUCACCCUAGAGGAUCAACAGGAUUUGUUCAUUGAAAGACACUUGAAGAUGUAGGCAGUUAAAGCAAAAGGACUUCUUGCAAUGUUUGUUUCAAGGACCAGACACAAGAGAAUUCGACAACAUAUGUAUCAGAAGAUCAAAAUCAGAAACUGAAAUCUGCCCAUGUAGAGUGUCACCAGAGAAUGUUGACCAUCUCCUCCAAAAUUGCUCUCUUUACCAAGAGGCUGUACAUGACACUGGCCCCAAAACACCCCAAUAGAAAGAAAAGUGAUUUGGAAAUCACUGCAAAAAUAAUCUCAUAUACUGGUCCAGUCAUCUGAAUGCUCCAAUAAAAAAAUGAGAAGGAAGAAGAAAGAAGAUUGUAUGUACCAUUUUUGUUUGAGGAUGGGGAGAAAAGUGAUCUUAGAAUUCAAACACCAAAAGUAUGUGUCUUUAUGAAUUCAAUGUAAUUGAUACUGGGCUUUUUGGGCUGAAAAUAAAAUGCAAAAAAUUUUAUUGGAAUUGCAGAAAAAAAAAGAGUUUUUAGCCAAAAUAAACAAUGUAUAGCCUGAGAACAAAUCAGGGGGAAGAACCAAGGGUAAUGCUAGUAUACUAUAGAAGUAUCUUUUUUUAUCCUUGCAACUUCACUGAUGCAUAACAGUGUCACAAACUGUUUGUUAAUGUGAUAUGAAACAUAAUUUUUUUAUUUUUUUUGUUACACAUAUAAUCACUCUAAAAAAAUUAUUUCUAAAAUAGAUAACUGUCUCUAGUAACCUGCUAGUGGACCAUGACCAACCUUUUUCUAUCUUGCUUUGUAUGAUAUAAACUUUCCUAGAUUUGACUUUAAAUUGUUGUCCUAGACAUGUCUGUUAUGCUAUAGGCUACUUUUAAUUGCAUAUGUUAGACAAAAAUUGUGAAAACAAGAGUACAUAACAUUUUCUAAAGAAAUUUUCAAUAUUUUGCAUUUUGAGGGGAGCAACAUGGCUAUUGAAAAGCAGAGACCAUACAAACCUCAUUAGAUGAAGAGUUUUAUUUUGUUGGUAAAGUCCUUGGUUUUGAGCCAGCAGAGAAACAUAGAAAGCUCUGUUUUGACAAUAUAUAAAGAGUGACUUUAGCUCAACUCCUCACCAAGCUUUACAGUCUGUGACAUUUUUUUGGUAAAACUUUGAAUCAGAUUUAUGUGUGUAUACUUCAUUAUGUUAACUACAUGUAUCAAGAAUACUCAAUUCAUAAAAAGAAGCUGCUUUAAAGGAUUAAAGAUAACUUUGACCCUUUUGAGAAAACAAAUUUAAACACAAGAUUUUGAAUUAAUUUUGUAAUUCUUUUAUAUUUUUUUUUUCUGAAAGCCACAUAACGACACAGGUAUUUAUUCAAGGUUUUGAAUGUAUGGUAUACUGUUAGGUUUAGUAUUGAGUCAUUCAGUAAAUUGUUUUUGUUUUGUGGUUUUUAUAAAUUAAUAAAUGGAAGUUUAUAUAAUGUGUUAUGCUUAUAUGUAUGAUUUUUUUUACUGAUCUAAAGAAAGAAACUUGAGGAUUUUAAUUUUUAUUCCUUUUGAAACAUGUCAGGAAUAUUAGAACAUUGGUUGGCAACAUUAUUAGUGUAAAAAUGUAUUUCACUUGGUAGCCAAGAAUGCUUAUAACUGAGAUGACAUCACUAAUAGUGGUUAACAAGGGUGCCAUGUUGUCAGCACAAUAACCAACCGCCUUUACUUUUCCUAACUCAUAUAAUAAUAAUAAUAAUAAUAAUAAUCUUUAUUAUCCUUAAGGAAAUUUGUCUUACAAUUUGUGCAUUACACCAAACAAAAAACAUUAUAACUAUAAGAAACCAAAAUGUACAUUCACACCAGACUCACUCAUAAUUUACAUGUGACAAAGUUUAUACCAGAUUGUUCUUAUUUAAUGAUUUGAUUGCCAGGGGAACAAAAGAGUGUUUGUGUCUGUUUGUCUUUGCUAUCGGUGUCUUGUAUCUCUUUUGUGAUGGUAAAAUCACAAAAUCCUGACACAAAGGGUGAUUCUUUAUUUCGAGGAUCUUGUUGGCUUUUUUAUAGAUGUUUGUCUCAAACAACUGCCCAAAUGGGGUUUGUUUUUUGCCAAUGAUUUUGCCAGCAGCAUUUAGGAUUCUAUGAAGUUACCCAUUAGAGCUGGGUGGACUCGAAGGCACCAUAAAGAUCCCAAAAUUAAAAUACCCGUCUUCACUAGGAUUUGAACCCAGGGUCCUCCUGUUUGGAAGUCAAGUGCUUUACCACUCAUCCACAUGCCUCUGUUAAAGGCUAGAUUUUGUGACAAUUAUUUUUAGGAGAGAGAAUGAUGUAUGCACAAAGUUGUAGCUUUUUUUUUAUUUUUAUUAAAUUUAUUUGUAUUUAACCACUGACUUAUUAAUCUCUUGAAUUGUCAAAUUUAAGUUUGUAAUCAGUUAGUGUUGACCUUGGCUUGAUAGGCUAAAAGGAUUAACAAUAAUAAUAAUAAUAAUUAUAGCUUGUAUGUAGAGCUACUUUCAUGCUUACAGCAUGCUCAGAGUGCUGUGUUCCAAUCUUAUGUGUGGACCAGUAGGGGGGGGGGGGAUUUGGGAGAGGGUUUUCCGUGCUGCCUUCGGGUACUCAGUAAACAGAACUCUGCUUUAGUCGUGUGUUGAACCUAGAGUCACCUUGAUAGGUAGCCGAGCCAAGCCAAGUUCAAGCAUACUUAGCCUCUUGACCACGCCUCCACAUUGAAAUUAAAUUGUAAAUGUUAAAUAUUUUUAAAAAUUUAAUACAGAAUUUGAUAUUUAUGAAAUAUUUAAUACAGAAUUUGAUAUUGAUGAAAAAUUUAAUACAGAAUUUGAUAUUGAUUACAAAAAAUAAUACAGAAUUUGAUAUUGAUACCA
Long non-coding RNA from Biomphalaria glabrata, 3562 nucleotides. RefSeq lists it as uncharacterized. The transcript is spliced from 5 exons. The record is from RefSeq and is a predicted model, not a curated record. NCBI's taxonomy places the organism in Eukaryota, Metazoa, Mollusca, Gastropoda, Planorbidae.